CCCCGCACAAGCAGCGGAGCGUGUGGUUUAAUUCGAAGCAACGCGAAGAACCUUACCAGAUCUUGACAUCCAAUUGACCAUUCUUUUAAUCGAGUAUUUUGCCUUCGGGUACAAUUGAGACAGGUGGUGCAUGGUUGUCGUCAGCUCGUGUCGUGAGAUGUUGGGUUAAGUCCCGCAACGAGCGCAACCCUUGUGUUUAGUUGCAAACAGGUCAAGCUGUGCACUCUAGACAGACUGCCGUGGACAACACGGAGGAAGGUGGGGAUGACGUCAAAUCAUCAUGCCCCUUAUGAUCUGGGCUACACACGUGCUACAAUGGCCGGUACAACGGGCAGCGAAGGAGCGAUCCGGAGCGAAUCCUAAAAAGCCGGUCCCAGUUCGGAUUGCAGGCUGAAACUCGCCUACAUGAAGUUGGAGUUGCUAGUAAUCGCGAAUCAGAAUGUCGCGGUGAAUGCGUUCCCGGGUCUU
Molecule: ribosomal RNA, 468 nt
Filed under: uncultured Fusibacter sp.
Lineage: Bacteria; Bacillati; Bacillota; Clostridia; Eubacteriales; Fusibacteraceae
Description: bacterial SSU rRNA
Rfam family: Bacterial small subunit ribosomal RNA
Source: RNAcentral